Molecule: long non-coding RNA, 354 nt
Filed under: Numida meleagris (helmeted guineafowl)
Lineage: Eukaryota; Metazoa; Chordata; Aves; Galliformes; Numididae
Description: lncRNA (ENSNMEG00000017039.1)
Source: RNAcentral
AAGUCAGUGGCAAUCUAAGAGUGAAGCCCAGCUCUGACUUGUAUCCAUGCAGCACGUUUGCUGGAUCAUAAGCACCUGGUUUCUCUAAGCCACAUCAUGAUUUAAUCUUGUCCCUGAUCCUACUGCUGCUGAAAACGAAGAGAUGGGCAGGACAGGAGCCAUUCCAGAGACUUCAACAGACUUGGACAGUUACAAGUGUUACAGGACCACAAAGAAAAGAAACCAACCUACAAGGUAGUAAGGAGGUCAACUCUGGUGCAGCCAAGUUGUAACAAGUGGGCAAUAGGAAUAGAUGUAGUUCUUCAUCCCUCCAGAGGAUGUCAGCACAGAGCCGCCAAAAAAAAAGCGAGCUUU